This 106-nucleotide small nuclear RNA is filed under the name Dasypus novemcinctus (nine-banded armadillo). Lineage: Eukaryota; Metazoa; Chordata; Mammalia; Cingulata; Dasypodidae. The record is from RNAcentral.
GUGCUCACUUUGGCAGCACAUAUACUAAAAUCAGAAUGAUAGAGAGAAGAUUAGGAUGGCCCUUUACAAGAAUGACAUGCAUAUUAGCGAAGCAUUCCAUAAUUUU